Molecule: long non-coding RNA, 769 nt
Filed under: Homo sapiens (human)
Lineage: Eukaryota; Metazoa; Chordata; Mammalia; Primates; Hominidae
Description: HSALNT0397864
Source: RNAcentral
GAAGUCUAGGGGCGUUAAAACCUCUGAGAAAAGCCGUGGUGACCACGGCGACCGCCCGCCACGCCCACCGCCGAGUCCCGGAGGCUUCGGGGAGUUGCAGCCUGGGCUAGGAGUGCGCAUGCGCAGAGCGGCCAACCCGUGAGGGAACGUUUCUGACGCUAGGUCAAGGGCGGUGUUCCUGUGUUCUUAGGGCCCCAGGAGGCGAGUCUGAGUGGAACCUGGCUGGGGUAGGCUGAAAGGUGACUUCGACGCUCUUCUGAGGCCUCAGACGUGUGUGAUGACUGCCCUGUAGAAUCAGUGCUGUGACCCCGAGUAACAACGCGCGCUUGAGUUGGUAUAAACUCCUGAAGGCCCAUGCUAUAUGAGCUUGACUUCUGGAAGGCUGGAGACUGAGUAAAUUCAGGAGUUAAGUUCAGUCACCCAGGCACCAUGGACACCAGCAUUCAGACGAGAUUACCUGUUUGGCACUACUUUGCACAUGCUGGCACACACCAUGGUGGGAAGAAUUAAGUGCUGUUGCCAUGCAAUUCUAAUGGAAGGGGAAAACUGGAAGCUUGUGCCUCGUCUCUCCUGGACUUUGUCCAGUGCCUUCUCCCAUUGUUCAUUGUUGCCUGCAUCCUUCGCCUUGAGUUUGAGUAUGGCAGCUCUUCUGGAUCCCAGGAGUCCUUCCAGCAAAUCAUUGAGCCUGAGUGGUCCUGGAGACCAGUGGCACACCUUUGUUCAAGAUAAUGGUUCACUUCUCAAUCAAUAAAAAUGUACUUGUAGACGC